CCUACGGGAGGCAGCAGUAAGGAAUAUUGGUCAAUGGACGAAAGUCUGAACCAGCCAUGCCGCGUGCAGGAUGACUGCCCUAUGGGUUGUAAACUGCUUUUAUAUAGGAAGAAAAACUUUCUCGUGAGAAAGCUUGACGGUACUAUAAGAAUAAGGAUCGGCUAACUCCGUGCCAGCAGCCGCGGUAAUACGGAGGAUCCAAGCGUUAUCCGGAAUCAUUGGGUUUAAAGGGUCCGUAGGUGGACAAAUAAGUCAGAGGUGAAAUCCUGCAGCUUAACUGUAGAACUGCCUUUGAUACUGUUUGUCUUGAGUUAUUAUGAAGUGGUUAGAAUGUGUAGUGUAGCGGUGAAAUGCAUAGAUAUUACACAGAAUACCGAUUGCGAAGGCAGAUCACUAAUAAUCAACUGACACUGAUGGACGAAAGCGUGGGUAGCGAACAGGAUUAGAUACCCUGGUAGUCCACGCCGUAAACGAUGGUCACUAGCUGUUUGGACUUCGGUCUGAGUGGCUAAGCGAAAGUGAUAAGUGACCCACCUGGGGAGUACGUUCGCAAGAAUGAAACUCAAAGGAAUUGACGG
This 578-nucleotide ribosomal RNA is filed under the name uncultured Flavobacteriales bacterium. Its description in RNAcentral is "bacterial SSU rRNA". It matches the Rfam family "Bacterial small subunit ribosomal RNA", at positions 338 to 916 of the family's 1533-position model. Lineage: Bacteria; Pseudomonadati; Bacteroidota; Flavobacteriia; Flavobacteriales. The record is from RNAcentral.